ACUCAAAGGAAUAGACGGGGGCCCGCACAAGCGGUGGAGUAUGUGGCUUAAUUCGAUGCAACGCGAAGAACCUUACCUGGGCUUGACAUGCAUCUCUAAGUCGGUGAAAGCCGGCGAGUCCCGCAAGGGACGAUUUGCACAGGUGCUGCAUGGCUGUCGUCAGCUCGUGUCGUGAGAUGUUGGGUUAAGUCCCGCAACGAGCGCAACCCUUGUGGCCUGUUGCUAACCGCCUUUUGGCGGUGCACUCUGGCCAGACUGCCCUGUGAAACGGGGAGGAAGGUGAGGAUGACGUCAAGUCAGCAUGGCCCUUACGCCCAGGGCUGCACACGUACUACAAUGCACAGUACAGAAGGAGCCGAGACCGCGAGGUGGAGGAAAUCACGAAAACUGUGCCCAAUUCGGAUCGCAGGCUGCAACUCGCCUGCGUGAAGCCGGAAUCGCUAGUAAUGGCGCAUCAGCUACGGCGCCGUGAAUACGUUCCCGGGCCUUGCACACACCGCCCGU
RNAcentral lists this ribosomal RNA (504 nucleotides) under uncultured bacterium. Its description in RNAcentral is "partial 16S ribosomal RNA". It matches the Rfam family "Bacterial small subunit ribosomal RNA", at positions 899 to 1397 of the family's 1533-position model. The record is from RNAcentral.